RNAcentral lists this long non-coding RNA (822 nucleotides) under Fukomys damarensis (Damara mole-rat). RNAcentral's name for it is "lncRNA (ENSFDAG00000028550.1)". Lineage: Eukaryota; Metazoa; Chordata; Mammalia; Rodentia; Bathyergidae. The record is from RNAcentral.
GGGACCUUGGGGAGGAAGUGGGCCGGGGGAUCCUGGGGGAGAGGUGGGUUGGGGAGACCCAGGAGGGAGAAGGUGGGCCUGGGGAGGCCGGCUGGGGACUCCUGUUCCUCCUGGGUCCAGGACGAGAGCCUGUUGUCUGUCUUUUCCCGUCCAGACAGCCAAGAAGCAACUCCUUCGCCCUAACUUUCUUAGGACCCCAAAGUGGGGCGGAGAGGGAGUAUUCCCCUCUUCUUGGGCCUUGCUGCCUUUUUCUCAUCUCGAGUUCCGAGUUCUGGGCCAGAGACAACUUCCCCUUCCCCUUCUUCCUGGCUAGGUGCUGCCUGCUCCCUCCCAGACCCCGUGGGCUUCCCUGAUUCUCAGCCCUCAGGGAAGAGAACAGAAGUCAGGGGUUGAAGGCAUGCUGGCCUGGGUCUACUCUAAAGAGACAGCUUACCUGGUGCAUAUGUUGCCUCGGGUCCCAGUUAGAGCCCCCAGGCCUGAGAUUAAGAGGCAGGGUGCUGUCAGCUACCCUGCGUCUGUUCUGUGCGGGGCAGCAGUAAGGAGAAGCCGAGAGAUGACCUGCCUUGUUGCUCUGGCCCCUGGAGAUUUUGCCCUGAACUGGCUCUCUGGCCUCACCUAUGGUGUCACUCUUGUAUGGGGGACUCUAGAGGAUACCCUUUAUCACAGAAAACCCACUAUACUGUGGCCCUUAGAGAAGGAGUUGAAAAUGCAUGUGCAGCAAUCUCAAUGACCAAGUUUGCCCAAGCAGCAGUUUGCCAUACUAAUAAAUAUCUGGAAGCUCAUAGCCACCAGUCUGAGCACCUCUUGUAAUUGUAGAGGCCA